ACAGGGGAAAUGGCUGCGCUUGUGUGAACAUCACCCUCUCCUGCCUUGGGGGCACCAAAGAAAAAAAAGAGACCCCCCCUCCACCAAUGGGUAAAGGUAAUACACAUACUCUUUGGUUAUUUCGGUAACGUCACGUAAGUAGAAAUAAAAUAAAACAAAUCACGACGUUUCGAUCGCAACACAAGCAAUCUUCAUCAGGUGGAACAACCACAGCAAGAAAAAUGCUGAAGUAGGCGAGAGAGCUGCCGUGGAAAGAGGAAUGACUGAGGCACAAUCAAUCUUCACUGCAGUCACAGCUCUUGUCUCAGUGUAUGGAGCAAGCUUCAUUCUCCACAUACCAGCUGGAGCUCGUUCAAGCGGCAAUCCAUGGAUACUGUGGGUGUGAAAUUCUCACAUCUGCUUUUGUACAUUUUUGUUCCAUAUUUUCGUUAACGACCGUGUUUCUGAGCCGUAUGCCAUCGCAAGUGAUUCUCACCGAUGAAACAUAAAACGGUCAUCUUUUUGAUUAUUGGUUUGUUACUUUUCAUUAUCAAGUUACGGUUUCCAAAGGCACUUCAUCCCAUUCACGUCUGGCUUGAUUUCAUUAAUGCAAUGUUGGUUAACUUCAGCGGCUGACCAAGUUUCAUAUUUUAUCUGUUCUGCUUUUGUCAAUUUGUUGACUGAGGUCACUCUUACCUUGGCAUUUUCUCGUCUGGGAAAAAAAACCUCAAAUGUAACCUGGAACUUGACAUUUUUUGUGUUCCGCUUUUUAACUCUAAUUUUUUUACCGAGUGCUGUUGUAUUCGAUGUUCAGUUUCACAUCGCAGUCUCUUUGUGAUACUUAUUACUUUCGUCAAUAUGUAUAUUGACUUUUGUUCUCUGUUUACUUUCUUAUACCACUCCACCCUCCCCCACCCCCUCCCCCCAUGUUUAUUUUUUAAGCAUGUUUGUGUAUGGGGCUAGAUGUUAACUACCUUGCCUGGUAAGCACGGGGUCGUGGGUUGGAUACUAACCCUAACGCAUGUAUUUUUGGAGUUUGCGUGUUCCCGUGGUCGCGUGGAUUUUUUGUCCUGGUCUUUUAGAAACAUGCGUUUAGAGUAAUUGGCUGCUAAACAUUUCCAGAUGAUAAGCCACUUCGUUGAGCUGUCAUUCGUGGUCAUGUCGCUUCUGAAAAAUACCUUUAUGUACUCUUAGUUAUUUCGGUAAAGUCCCACCUGAUGACGGAGACUUGUGUUGCCUCUGAAACGUCGUGAUUUUUAUUGUUUUAUUUUAAUUUUAAUUUCAUUUUUUACCUACGUGACUUUACCGAAAGAACUAAGAGUAUGAAUCCUUGCAGUCACGAAAGCUUUAAAUCUAGAAUUAAUACCUAUAUACUCAGUGGGCCUUACCUGGUAAAAUAAAAAAUUGUUUCAAUAUUUUUGGUUUCGUUUGGGAAUAUUACGUUUCACUGUCAAGUUAAGGUUUUCAAAAGCACCUCAACCCACUGACAUUUGCCUCAAUUUCAUUCAUACAUUUUUCUGACACUUGUCAAUCGCUGUUCUAAGUACAUAUAUGGGUGGUGACGUGGUCGGGCAAACGGUUAUUUAUGUGCCGCUUGUUGCAGAGAUUCGCGCUUCGAUUCCGGUUAAUACCGCGGGUGUACUGACCAUAAACUAAGCACCAUCUGGCUCAGUGACAUCAUUCAACAUUAGCAGGCCAUUGCGUGCUUACACUGCAGUUAAAUUUGCUUUUAAUCCCCCACAAAUUAAUGAAUUGGGAGAACACGAAAGAAAAAUGUCCCCUAAUGUGAAACUACUGCAGCACUGUUGUAACUACAUAGCACCUUUCCGAUAGGCUUGCGUGAAUAGCAAAUAUAGGAAUGAUUUAAUGUUAUGUUCAGUUGUGUUUUACGACUGAGUCCCUCAUAUAGAUUGGUUUGUGACAGCUUGGAUGACUUCACCGCACUUGGGUUUAAUCUUUUUGUUCAGCGCUGUCCUCUGAGUUUAAUUUGAAGUGAUAUAUUUGAACAAUUAAGAUGCAAUGGUGACAAUUGCAUAAACCGUAGCAACGUUUACAAGUGUGUGGAUUUGUGAUGUACAUUUGCCUUUAACGUGUAAUAGCUAUAAUGAAUUAAUUAAACGUGCGAAUAAAACAAUUAAACAUGAAUGCAUUUUUAAUAAUAAAAUAGUAAUAAAUGAUCAUAAAUUAAAUAAGUUAUUAAGACUGUUGACUAGUAAAUUAAUGAACAAGUAAUACCUUUCAUAUCGAGGGCACUAAUCUUUCCUACACCUUUUUUUACAUCCAUUACACUAUUGUAAUAUUACAAUUGCAAUUAUUUAAAUUAACACCUUUAUUUUUAUUAUUAAUUUCAUACAUUGACAUUUAAUAACCUUUCA
Molecule: long non-coding RNA, 2354 nt
Organism: Lethenteron reissneri (Far Eastern brook lamprey)
Lineage: Eukaryota; Metazoa; Chordata; Hyperoartia; Petromyzontiformes; Petromyzontidae
Source: RefSeq, a predicted model, not a curated record